This 68-nucleotide transfer RNA is filed under the name Stenocercus scapularis. Its description in RNAcentral is "tRNA-Ala". Lineage: Eukaryota; Metazoa; Chordata; Lepidosauria; Squamata; Tropiduridae. The record is from RNAcentral.
UAAGACCUGCGAAACUCUAAACGCAUCUUCUGAAUGCAACUCAAACACUUUACUUAAGCUAAAGCCUC